RNAcentral lists this ribosomal RNA (426 nucleotides) under uncultured bacterium. RNAcentral describes it as "bacterial SSU rRNA". It matches the Rfam family "Bacterial small subunit ribosomal RNA", at positions 354 to 796 of the family's 1533-position model. The record is from RNAcentral.
GUGAGGAAUUUUCCGCAAUGGGCGAAAGCCUGACGGAGCAAUGCCGCGUGAAGGAUGAAGGCCUAUGGGUUGUAAACUUCUUUUCUCAGAAAAGAAUUAUGACGGUAUCUGAGGAAUAAGCAUCGGCUAACUCUGUGCCAGCAGCCGCGGUAAGACAGAGGAUGCAAGCGUUAUCCGGAAUGAUUGGGCGUAAAGCGUCUGUAGGUUGUUUAAAAAGUAUUCUGUCAAAUAUUAGGGCUUAACCCUAGAUAGGCAGAAUAAACUUUUAAGCUAGAGUUUGGUAGAGGCAGAGGGAAUUCCCGGUGCAGCGGUGAAAUGCGUAGAUAUCGGGAGGAACACCAAAGGCGAAGGCACUCUGCUGGGCCAAUACUAACACUGAGAGACGAAAGCGAGGGGAGCAAAUGGGAUUAGAUACCCCAGUAGUCC